CCCUUAGAUGUCCUGGGCCGCGCGCGCGCUACACUGAGUGUCUGAGAUACGAGUCUGCCUGGUCCGGCAAGGUCUAGGUAAUCGCUAAAAGACACAUCAUGCUUGGGAUAGAUUAUUGCAAAUAUUAAUCUUGAACGAGGAAUUCCUAGUAAGCGCAAGUCAACAGCUUGCGUUGAUUACGUCCCUGCCCUUUGUACACACCGCCCGUCGCUACUACUGAUUGGAUGUUUAAGCGAGGUCCUCGAACUGCUAGCGACUUAGCUUCGGUGAGGUCGCAGUGUGGGAAGUGAACCUAGCUUUGGUGUCUAGAGGAAGUAAAAGUCGUAACA
RNAcentral lists this ribosomal RNA (329 nucleotides) under uncultured eukaryote. RNAcentral describes it as "partial 18S ribosomal RNA". It matches the Rfam family "Eukaryotic small subunit ribosomal RNA", at positions 1470 to 1796 of the family's 1831-position model. The record is from RNAcentral.